AUGGAGCAGUUGAAUCUCGAGGAUGAAGUCUUUGAUGAUCUGGUAAUCGAUGAGAACGACCAGGAGAUCAAUGAGAGCGUUAGAUGGCUAGCCCUAGCUAGGGUUCAUACGGACAAAACUUUCAGCCCGACGGCCUUCUAUAGGGAGAUGCGGACGGCGUGGAAUCCAGCACAGCAUGUGAACUUCCGCCCAGUUGGCCCGAACCUGUUCAUUGUUCAGGCCGCUUGCCUUGGCGACUGGGAACGGAUGAUCGAUCAAGGACCAUGGCUCUUCAGGAAUUUCUUGGUCCUGAUGUGUCCCUAUGAUGGUUUUACGAAGGCAGAGGAGGUGCCUAUGGUGUAUAUGCCGGUUUGGCUCCAGAUUCAUAAACUUCCAGAAGGUUUCUGUAAAAAGGGCAUUGUGGAACAUCUGCUUAGGAACUCUGGGAAGAUUUUGGAGAUGAGAUUAAACGGAAACACACGUGGGGACUAUGUGAGAAUUAGGGUUCGACAUGAUGUGCGUCAGCCUCUCACCAAGUUCGUCAGUAUUGUUCGAGGUAAAGAGCGUCAGGUUUUCCUGGUGCAUUAUGAGAAGCUUGCUCGUUUCUGUAGUGUGUGUGGCAUCAUAGGCCAUGAGUUCAAGGAGUGUGGGAACGGGAUUCAUGAAGAGAAAAACAAGAAGUUUGGCGCGUGGCUAUAUGCUGAUGGCCCUAAUAAACCACGACCGGAUGGUGGUAAUCGGGGGAGUGAGCAGAAGCCAGACCAUACCCCAAGCCGUGUAAACAAUCUACCUAAACAGGUGGAUCCUGAAACGCUGGAUACAGCCACAAGCCCGUCGAAGGCCACGAACACACUCAUGCAAGUCGACCUAUCUGUGCGGAAGUGA
RNAcentral lists this ribosomal RNA (864 nucleotides) under Triticum aestivum (bread wheat). RNAcentral describes it as "partial small subunit ribosomal RNA". Lineage: Eukaryota; Viridiplantae; Streptophyta; Magnoliopsida; Poales; Poaceae. The record is from RNAcentral.